This 253-nucleotide ribosomal RNA is filed under the name uncultured bacterium. Its description in RNAcentral is "partial 16S ribosomal RNA". It matches the Rfam family "Bacterial small subunit ribosomal RNA", at positions 524 to 776 of the family's 1533-position model. The record is from RNAcentral.
GACGAACCGUGCGAACGUUGUUCGGAAUCACUGGGCUUAAAGGGCGCGUAGGCGGCCUGCCAAGUCAGGGGUGAAAGCCCCCAGCUCAACUGGGGAAGUGCCUUUGAUACUGGCGGGCUCGAGCGAGGUAGGGGUCGUGGGAACUUCCGGUGGAGCGGUGAAAUGCGUUGAUAUCGGAAGGAACGCCGGUGGCGAAAGCGCACGACUGGACCUCUUCUGACGCUGAGGCGCGAAAGCCAGGGGAGCAAACGGG